UUGGCAAAGGAAAAAGUUGUUUAGAAUGACCUCACCAAUCAUCCCUCUUCCGUUCCUACCCCAGUUCUGGGACACCCUGUAUACCAUUACCACGUAUGGGAAGAUGCUACGCACAACAGCGUUUAUCGAUGUACGUAUUUGAAGCACCCGAAAAUAUUCAUUUAAAGCCUACUCUUAGAAUAUUAACGAUAUAACCAACAUACAUAAGGAUAAUGAUCGUAACAUUAAAUUAUGAAUCUGCUUAUGGAAUACAUUUUUCAUUAAUCAUGUUGAAAAAAAAAAUUGUAAUUGGAGUAAGAAUGUCAGUCACCUAUCAAUAAACUCAACAAAAAACCACUGUGAAAGGAUUCAACAAUGUUGUUAGUCCUGACUGCUGAGCCAUACACGCUGACCUUCGAAGAAAUAGGUAGCCAUACACUUCUUAGAUACGCCAUAAACAUAAGAACAUUUGGAUAUGUGUCGGAUAAACGAUCAGCGACUAACUGAAUUUGAUGUAAUGCUUCUGGAAACAUAUCGGAUGGAGCUAAAGGCAUUGUCAUAGCCAUUGACAGAAUCUCUUUUGGUGCUCCUUGCAACCCCAAAUUCUUCCACUUCCUUAAUACAGCCUGAAUAAUAAGAAAAGGAUUAUUCAAUUCUGUAUUAAGCACUUCAAGGAGAAAAAAUAGUAUUUUCAAAUAUAAAAUAUUUGUCAGUCUCAAACAGAUUCCAGAAACAUAAUCCGACUAUCCAAUGGUACGUUCUUUGAUUAAGAAACAAAACACAUGUAUGUAUGGUAAUUGUUAUUUGGCCGUUAAGACAAUGGUUUUCUCUGGUUACCCUGGUUACCCCGGUCCAGAUUGAUCUAGAUCUAAGAGAUGCGAUUAUAAUCUCAACGAAAAACGGAAUUUCAGUUUACUGUUUUAUGUGAAUGUCGUACUAAGACCAUGUACAAAGCAAUAUGGAGAAAACAGUGUUUCUUAUUCCACGAUUGCAAAACAACUCAGAAAGUGUCAUGAGAUGAUGUUACAUCAACCUCAACGGAUAACAUUAAUGUAUGUAUAGAAAGUCGAGGAGAUAACAGAAAACAAGUGUUGUGUACAUUUAGGAAACAGGAACAAGGAAGAAGCAAUAGAGGGUGAUAUUUCAUCACCAUCUAAUGACACUCCCAGUGAUAUUUGCACAAAGUCUUUACUGGAAUUUCAAUUAAGCGUCGAUGGUAUGACAGAUGAUACUGACGUUUGUAUAAGUGGUAGUCAAAUUAAUGAACAGAAUUUAAUGGAAGAAUGGUCUGGACGAAGGAGUUGCUGCUGCAAGUGAGACGUCUCCAGAAUAGUACUACCACGUAAUUCCAUUUAUUGCUACAAAACUAUUUAUUUGAAAAAAGAAGAAAACAAUGUGAAAUGUAAUUUAAAUUCUAUAUUAUGGAAAUUAGAAUAGAAAAUUAAAGUUCAAGAGCUUCAUCUACCCUUAUUAAACUAUUUACUUCUAAUAUGUUGGCGUUACAUUGUUUUUAAGUAAACUUAUCUAAUAUAAUACCCGUCUUGCUUGGAUAAUUUCUUCAGUGUAUCUAUUUAAUACUUUUACUCCAUAAUAUCUUUGUUGCCAUUUCUCCUUCUAUGUCUGAUCAAGCACUGAAAAUAAAGAGAAAGACAUGACAUGUAAUCAUAUAUGUAUAAUCAACAACUGCAUUUUGACAUAGACAAUAUAUUAGAGACAA
Molecule: long non-coding RNA, 1696 nt
Organism: Osmia lignaria (orchard mason bee)
Lineage: Eukaryota; Metazoa; Arthropoda; Insecta; Hymenoptera; Megachilidae
Source: RefSeq, a predicted model, not a curated record